Molecule: ribosomal RNA, 2676 nt
Filed under: Salmonella enterica subsp. enterica serovar 4:-:1,2
Lineage: Bacteria; Pseudomonadati; Pseudomonadota; Gammaproteobacteria; Enterobacterales; Enterobacteriaceae
Description: partial 23S ribosomal RNA
Rfam family: Bacterial large subunit ribosomal RNA
Source: RNAcentral
AUGAACCGUUAUAACCGGCGAUACCCGAAUGGGGAAACCCAGUGUGAUUCGUCACACUAUCAUUAACUGAAUCCAUAGGUUAAUGAGGCGAACCGGGGGAACUGAAACAUCUAAGUACCCCGAGGAAAAGAAAUCAACCGAGAUUCCCCCAGUAGCGGCGAGCGAACGGGGAGGAGCCCAGAGCCUGAAUCAGCAUGUGUGUUAGUGGAAGCGUCUGGAAAGGCGCGCGAUACAGGGUGACAGCCCCGUACACAAAAGCGCAUGUGCUGUGAGCUCGAUGAGUAGGGCGGGACACGUGGUAUCCUGUCUGAAUAUGGGGGGACCAUCCUCCAAGGCUAAAUACUCCUGACUGACCGAUAGUGAACCAGUACCGUGAGGGAAAGGCGAAAAGAACCCCGGCGAGGGGAGUGAAAAAGAACCUGAAACCGUGUACGUACAAGCAGUGGGAGNNNNNNNNNNNNNNNNNNNNNNNNNNNNNNNNNNAUAGGGGAGCCGGAGGGAAACCGAGUCUUAAUUGGGCGUUAAGUUGCAGGGUAUAGACCCGAAACCCGGUGAUCUAGCCAUGGGCAGGUUGAAGGUUGGGUAACACUAACUGGAGGACCGAACCGACUAAUGUUGAAAAAUUAGCGGAUGACCUGUGGCUGGGGGUGAAAGGCCAAUCAAACCGGGAGAUAGCUGGUUCUCCCCGAAAGCUAUUUAGGUAGCGCCUCGUGAAUUCAUCUCCGGGGGUAGAGCACUGUUUCGGCUAGGGGGCCAUCCCGGCUUACCAACCCGAUGCAAACUGCGAAUACCGGAGAAUGUUAUCACGGGAGACACACGGCGGGUGCUAACGUCCGUCGUGAAGAGGGAAACAACCCAGACCGCCAGCUAAGGUCCCAAAGUCAUGGUUAAGUGGGAAACGAUGUGGGAAGGCCCAGACAGCCAGGAUGUUGGCUUAGAAGCAGCCAUCAUUUAAAGAAAGCGUAAUAGCUCACUGGUCGAGUCGGCCUGCGCGGAAGAUGUAACGGGGCUAAACCAUGCACCGAAGCUGCGGCAGCGANNNNNNNNNNNNNNNNNNNNNNUGCUGGAGGUAUCAGAAGUGCGAAUGCUGACAUAAGUAACGAUAAAGCGGGUGAAAAGCCCGCUCGCCGGAAGACCAAGGGUUCCUGUCCAACGUUAAUCGGGGCAGGGUGAGUCGACCCCUAAGGCGAGGCCGAAAGGCGUAGUCGAUGGGAAACGGGUUAAUAUUCCCGUACUUGGUGUUACUGCGAAGGGGGGACGGAGAAGGCUAUGUUGGCCGGGCGACGGUUGUCCCGGUUUAAGCGUGUAGGUGUGUGUUCCAGGUAAAUCCGGUUCACUUUAACACUGAGGCGUGACGACGAGGCACUACGGUGCUGAAGCAACAAAUGCCCUGCUUCCAGGAAAAGCCUCUAAGCAUCAGGUAACACGAAAUCGUACCCCAAACCGACACAGGUGGUCAGGUAGAGAAUACCAAGGCGCUUGAGAGAACUCGGGUGAAGGAACUAGGCAAAAUGGUGCCGUAACUUCGGGAGAAGGCACGCUGACACGUAGGUGAAGUGAUUUACUCAUGGAGCUGAAGUCAGUCGAAGAUACCAGCUGGCUGCAACUGUUUAUUAAAAACACAGCACUGUGCAAACACGAAAGUGGACGUAUACGGUGUGACGCCUGCCCGGUGCCGGAAGGUUAAUUGAUGGGGUCAGCGUAAGCGAAGCUCCUGAUCGAAGCCCCGGUAAACGGCGGCCGUAACUAUAACGGUCCUAAGGUAGCGAAAUUCCUUGUCGGGUAAGUUCCGACCUGCACGAAUGGCGUAAUGAUGGCCAGGCUGUCUCCACCCGAGACUCAGUGAAAUUGAACUCGCUGUGAAGAUGCAGUGUACCCGCGGCAAGACGGAAAGACCCCGUGAACCUUUACUAUAGCUUGACACUGAACAUUGAGCCUUGAUGUGUAGGAUAGGUGGGAGGCUUUGAAGUGUGGACGCCAGUCUGCAUGGAGCCGACCUUGAAAUACCACCCUUUAAUGUUUGAUGUUCUAACGUGGACCCGUAAUCCGGGUUGCGGACAGUGUCUGGUGGGUAGUUUGACUGGGGCGGUCUCCUCCUAAAGAGUAACGGAGGAGCACGAAGGUUGGCUAAUCCUGGUCGGACAUCAGGAGGUUAGUGCAAUGGCAUAAGCCAGCUUGACUGCGAGCGUGACGGCGCGAGCAGGUGCGAAAGCAGGUCAUAGUGAUCCGGUGGUUCUGAAUGGAAGGGCCAUCGCUCAACGGAUAAAAGGUACUCCGGGGAUAACAGGCUGAUACCGCCCAAGAGUUCAUAUCGACGGCGGUGUUUGGCACCUCGAUGUCGGCUCAUCACAUCCUGGGGCUGAAGUAGGUCCCAAGGGUAUGGCUGUUCGCCAUUUAAAGUGGUACGCGAGCUGGGUUUAGAACGUCGUGAGACAGUUCGGUCCCUAUCUGCCGUGGGCGCUGGAGAACUGAGGGGGGCUGCUCCUAGUACGAGAGGACCGGAGUGGACGCAUCACUGGUGUUCGGGUUGUCAUGCCAAUGGCACUGCCCGGUAGCUAAAUGCGGAAGAGAUAAGUGCUGAAAGCAUCUAAGCACGAAACUUGCCCCGAGAUGAGUUCUCCCUGAGACUUAGAGUCUCCUGAAGGAACGUUGAAGACGACGACGUUGAUAGGCCGG